This 211-nucleotide ribosomal RNA is filed under the name Cornu cephalaeditanum. Its description in RNAcentral is "Erctella cephalaeditana partial 16S ribosomal RNA". The record is from RNAcentral. Lineage: Eukaryota; Metazoa; Mollusca; Gastropoda; Stylommatophora; Helicidae.
GAAGUCUGGUAUGAAUGAACUUUGGGUAGUAACUGUCUUAAUAUAUUUUAAAAAAUUUAAUAUGUAAGUGAAAAUACUUACUUUAAUAUAAAAGACGAGAAGACCCUAGAAACUUAUAUUAUUUUUGUUGGGGCGACAGGAUUACAAUUAACUAAUCUUACUUAACGUGACGUUAAACAGUUAGAAAAAGUUACUCUAGGGAUAACAGCAA